AGAUGUGAGGGCUCAGUGUCUGCAAUAUCUGUCACCCCCUGGACCACCAGUCCAGGACGGACACAGGUGAACUGGCUGGUCAGGCAGGAGUCCCCUUCACCUGUCACUCCUUCCAUGAACGUCCUCCUGAAGCCAGGCACUUGGUCAAUGAGGAUGACCUUCCUCCAAUCACAUGUUUAAGAGUAUUGUGCUCCCCUGCUACAGAACCCAAUCAAGCUUUCAAGAAGUGACAGAUGAUUUGUUUAUUAUUUCUGUGUGAGAGAGAAAGAGACAGAUAGAGAGAGAGAGAAUGGGCAUGCCAGGGCCUCUAACCACUGCAAAUGAACUCCAGAUGCAUGUACCA
This 343-nucleotide small nuclear RNA is filed under the name Jaculus jaculus (lesser Egyptian jerboa). RNAcentral's name for it is "7SK RNA (ENSJJAG00000006744.1)". It matches the Rfam family "7SK RNA". From Rfam's summary of the family: 7SK was discovered as an abundant small nuclear RNA in the mid-70s but a possible function has only recently been suggested. Two independent studies have found that 7SK RNA binds the CDK9/cyclin T complex (known as elongation factor P-TEFb). P-TEFb activates transcription by phosphorylating the C-terminal domain of RNA polymerase II. The record is from Rfam by way of RNAcentral. Lineage: Eukaryota; Metazoa; Chordata; Mammalia; Rodentia; Dipodidae.